CUCAGGAUGAACGCUGGCGGCGUGCUUAAUACAUGCAAGUCGAACGAAGCACUUAUGACAGAUCCCCUCGGGGUGAAGACGUUGUGACUGAGUGGCGGACGGGUGAGUAACGCGUGGGUAACCUGCCUAUGCAGGGGGACAACAGUUGGAAACGACUGCUAAUACCGCAUAAGCGCACGGCACCGCAGUGGUGCAGUGUGAAAAGAUUUAUCGGCAUAAGAUGGACCCGCGUCUGAUUAGGUAGUUGGUGAGGUAACGGCCCACCAAGCCGACGAUCAGUAGCCGACUUGAGAGAGUGAUCGGCCACAUUGGGACUGAGACACGGCCCAGACUCCUACGGGAGGCAGCAGUAGGGAAUAUUGCACAAUGGGGGAAACCCUGAUGCAAGCGACGCCGCGUGAGUGAUGAAGUAUUUCGGUACGUAAAGCUCUAUCAGCAGGGAAGAUAAUGACGGUACCUGACUAAGAAGCCCCGGCUAACUACGUGCCAGCAGCCGC
This 497-nucleotide ribosomal RNA is filed under the name uncultured bacterium. RNAcentral's name for it is "bacterial SSU rRNA". It matches the Rfam family "Bacterial small subunit ribosomal RNA", at positions 23 to 518 of the family's 1533-position model. The record is from RNAcentral.